RNAcentral lists this unclassified non-coding RNA (716 nucleotides) under Hevea brasiliensis (rubber tree). Lineage: Eukaryota; Viridiplantae; Streptophyta; Magnoliopsida; Malpighiales; Euphorbiaceae. The record is from RNAcentral.
AAAGUUUAUUUUAAUUUAAAUUUUUAAUUAAAUUAUAAUUAAAAUAAAAAAUUGAAAAAAAUCAAUCGCUUUCAACGCGGCCGACGGUGGCCAGCCCAGUUGGUAUACGUGAUAGCAUCUUUUUGUUCUUUUGCAUGGUAUGGCCUUGCCAUUAAUCGUUUCAGGUGUACUCUGACAACGGAAUUAAUAGUUUAGACACUUGUACGUUAGAAGAAACAUUGAAUUCAAUAUUUUUUCUAUCUACCUGUUUUUAAUUUGCAAGAUCCUUUACGAGAGCCGAAGCAACAACGGAGGCCAAAGUUGGCAAUCAAGAGAAGCGGAACACGACGUCGUUCUGUGUCCAAAAACUAUCUUAUUCUUCUUACAUCAAGCCGAGAAGACGAAAGCUCUAGGAUAACUGUAAAUGGGAAUUUUUCGCAACUGUAGUAUAUUACAGCUGGUGUAGGAAAAAAAUUUUCCUGAAUCUCACUGACCCGUAGGCAUGACCACAAUUUGUUUGAUCUGAUGUGACAGAAAUCAGAAAAGCUAGCCAUGCAUGCAUAGACUAGUGCUGUGAGUCAGAAUCGGGUAAUGUCCCAUUUAUGCUGCUAUUCAUGAUCUCAACUAGAAAGAAUUGAUAUUUUUCCAACCGCGUAACAAGAUUUGUCUCUCUGUGUGAGCAACAAACUACUAAAUUACAUAGAUAUUGUACUGUGAUAACAUGACAACCACCAUAG